Spinacia oleracea (spinach) is the source of this 3436-nucleotide long non-coding RNA. RefSeq lists it as uncharacterized. NCBI's taxonomy places the organism in Eukaryota, Viridiplantae, Streptophyta, Magnoliopsida, Caryophyllales, Amaranthaceae. The transcript is spliced from 3 exons. The record is from RefSeq and is a predicted model, not a curated record.
CGAUGUCAUCGUUAGAGGUGAGAAUUGAAGAGCCUUGAUUGAAUCGCCGUCGACGGUCAUGGCCGCCCUUUUUUGCUCGAGUCUCAUCCUACUGAAGGACGGUAACUCCUCUUUAAUUUUUUAUAUUUAUUUUGUUGUUUUUGUUGAUUUUGCUGCUGAAACCCUAAACAUUGGCAUGCCAAGAGCCAGUUAGAGAGCAUAUGAUUCUAUUUUUAUGGAAACUUUACUUGAAAUCUGUUAUGAUUAAUUGAUCUUCUAUCACCAACGAUCCUAUCUCUCGCCUGGUCUGCCCUGAGAUUGAUUUUGGUUCAAUUGAUUGGAAAUAUUGGAAAUUGAAUGGGAAUUCUGGAAAUUGAUUGGAAAUUGUGGUUGAUUUUGCAAUUUUAACUUUAGGGUUAUACCAACUUAAGAAAAGGGAGUGAAAGUUGACAUGUUCAAAUUGCUUAAUCCUGAAAUUAAGCAAUUUAUGAUAAUAGUUACUUACUUCAGAAUCCUUUUGAAGCAGAUUAUGCUUAAAUUUCUAGCUUUUCGGCGUUGCAUUUGUUCUGGUAAUUAAAUGGAAGAAACUAAUACCUGCUAGAGAUGUUGAACUAUGCGUUAAAUGUCAGUGAUUGAAGAUUGGUUCCCCUGCUACCUCGUCUGUGUUUAAGUGAGCAUCUUGGAAUUAUAUCCACCUAUAUAUGUGUCUCUCUCCAUCAUCAUUGUAAUUCCAUUGUCGUGGUAGCAAAGAAAUAUAUUCCAUUGCUGUGUUGAUAUUCUCUCAACUAAGUAAUGGUUUUAAUAAUUAUUAAUGCAAACAAGUAUUCUGAUUUCUUGCUCAAGUAUAUCUUCUUUAUAGUUUCGUUGCAAAAUAUAUUUACACCAUGUCAAUCUGUCAUUGCAAAAUUUACAACCCGUUUUCUACUGUUUGUCUUUCUUUAUAGAUUGUCCUUUCAUGCUGUGAGUUUCUAAGAUUUGUUUUACAAUUAAUUGAGUGGGGUUGUUAUAUAUAAUGCUUCUUGCAACCGUUUAACUGCUUGCCUGCUUGUAUUCUGCAAGCAGAUUAAUCGUUUCUUAGAUAUACCUUAUGCCACUAUGAAUUAGGAAUUCUGGACUACAUAAAUUUGUCCUAAUCGAUUCCGAUCUAAAACCGAACACUCACUUAUUUAGCUCCUGAAUGCUGGGCUGAAGAACACGGUGUUGUAGGUGAAUUUUUCACUAUGGCAACAUCCUAGAGAAAAGGCCUAGUUGUCAUGAAGUGACAGGGGUUUUACUUCUGUUCUGCUCGCAGUUAGCUUGUUGCUGUUGUUGAGUGACAGAUGCAGGGUUCCAGUUUGAAGAGUUGUUAGAUGUUCAGUCAGAUGGGAAGCUGUUGUUGCAACGGCUUGAAGUUGAGUGCCUGCCUGCCUUUUCUUGCUGUUAAUCCUGGUCAACAAUACUAGAGUUGACUUGCUGUGUUUGUGCCUUGUUCUUUUUAUUGUUUGUUUGCUCAUUAAGGUGAAAGAGUGUCAUUUCAUUAUGGGCUUAUUGAUUGGUCCUUUGUACUUGGUAUGAUCUAUCUUAGUCUUUCAUGUUUGCCUCUUCAUCUAAUUUUGUGUAAUCAAUAGAUCCCAGGCAAUUAAGAAUCUAAAGGUAGAACUCGAUGGUAUCUUUGUUACUCAUUCUUCUCAUAGCUUGAUGUUUUCUUUGGUCCUUCCAGCAGCUUGUUUAAUGUUCAAGGCCACUGAUCCCACCAACUUCUGCAUCAUCUUUUGAUGAUUUGCCAUCUAAUUUUUAUCAUGUAUUUGCUCAUUAAGUCAUAUCUUUCCCUCUUAAUUUGUCAAAUUUGUUUAUCAAAUUUGUCAUCUUUUCUUUUAGUUUGGUGAGAUGAAUAAGAAAUUGAAGGAGGUGGGGGGAUAAGUGCUACUCUUGGUUGUGUUUUUUCCCCAAAUUAAUUUCAGAAUUGAAGAAUGUUUCAUCCAAAUUCCGGUCAUGAUUUCAGUAUCAUAGAUGUGGUCUAUGCAGGACAAAUAUUAACCAAAUUGGGAAAAAAAAUAAGAUCAGGAGAAAUCAAACAGAAAAGUUCGACUUUAGUUGUCCUGUGCUUCUUUUUCUCUCACUUGAUCAUUCUUUUAGUUUAUUGCAUUUAAGUUGCAGCUGAUAGUAUUAGUAUGAACUUUUACCUCUUAUGGUACUUAUAAUUCUCACUUAAUCUUUCUUUUAGUUUAUUGCACUGAAGUUGCUGACAAUCAAUUGUUUUUGAUUUGUGGGCUUCAUUAUGAAACUCAUAAACACCUGGUAGGUGAGUUUUUGUAUCCAGAGAACUGGUUGGGUAUGAAGAAUUAAAUUACUUCCUUCCUCAGAUGUUGAUCUCGAGUUAGUGCAGAAUUCCUCAUUUCAGGGAAGAAUUAAGUUGUUGCUUCUGCUAUUAGUCAACCAUAUGCUUGGAUGUAAAUUACCUUGAAAAAACGAACUUGAACAUCAGUAAUCGGGUUGCUUUCUCUUUGUUUUUGAAUUGCAUCUUUCUAUAUGGUCUCAACUUUGACGUGACUUCUAAGUUCUAACGUUUGUUUGUUUUAUGAAUCAGGAAAGGGUUUCCAUUGGGACUGAAGUAGUCUGUCAUUCAAAAGAACACACUAUAGGAAAUAUGUUUGGAGAAGCAAGCGUCACAAAUGAAACUUCCAACAAUUUGGUGCUAAGCAGUAACAGUCAAAUAGAAUCUGAUAGCCAACAAAAAUCAUUUGUCAUUCAUUCUAGAGACCGCAGAAGGUUGAUGUUUUGUUCAAAGAGAUGAUUUUGUUAAAGGAACAAACCAAUUCCAUGGAAAUAGAACUAAAUGAAAUGCAAGAGAGGCAUAAGAGCUUUUUGAGUAAUAACCGAAGGAUAAAGCUUAAUAGAAGUUUCCCACAGCGAAAAAAUAAAUAAAUUGUAUCUUGUUCUUGUGAAUAAUAUCAUAUGUGCUUACCAUACAUGGGAAGCUCGGAAUAAUAUCUCCUGGAAUCAGGCUGUCCUACAUCCGGAUCUCCAAGGUAUGUUGGAGAAUUCAAGGCAUGCAGAAUGAGAAAUGGACACUAAAGAUAGGAACUGUUUCUGCAAUAUUAGUUUUAAUAGAUGUUGACUAUUGGCAACUGAGUUUUUGACAAUAGUUGACUUUUCUGUUGUUGUAUUUUGUUGCUGGUUUCUGCUUGUUACAGUUUGCAGGUCUAAGUUUACUUAUGUCGACCUGUGCAGGCUGACAGUUUGACACUAGCUUUGCGAAUCUGAUGUUUGUUUGUUUUUUUUGUAAAAAAAUCUUCAAGGCAAGUCAAUGGUGUUAAUCAACUGGAUCCACCAACGCCAAUGUGAAAUUCACUACACCAACGCCAAAAUUCAAUCGGCCAUUUUAUCGCCAGCCACGGUAUUUUGUAAUUUUCAUUGAAUUUGUUUCACCCAACCUCUCUAAAUCCUCUUAAAAGUACCAUUACCCUUUUCUAAUAAA